AUGAUCUACCUACUCGAAAUGAAUGGGAUUUACGGCAUAGUAAGAACUAAAAAAGUGAGCUUCUUCUGCCUCCUCCCCUUUCCCCUCCCCUUCCCGUGGUCUUAUUGUUUCUCUCCCCACUCCGUCCAGCCGCCGAGAGGAACAAUCCGCUUGAAUCCUCCCUCGCUGGUAGUACUAGAGCACAAAUCCAGUCCAAUCCGAUGCACUACGAUCCAACCAACCACCAAAUCGAAGCUAACCACGCCGGCCGGAGGGGGAUCGAGGAGGAGGAGGCAAGAGUCGGAUCCGGCGAUCGACGGGCCACACGCCGGAGGUGCGGGGCGGAGCCGGAGCGCCGGAGGAGCCGCGGCCUCGGAGCAUCUCGGCGACUGGUUCUAG
Molecule: ribosomal RNA, 378 nt
Filed under: Triticum aestivum (bread wheat)
Lineage: Eukaryota; Viridiplantae; Streptophyta; Magnoliopsida; Poales; Poaceae
Description: partial small subunit ribosomal RNA
Source: RNAcentral